Marmota monax (woodchuck) is the source of this 2361-nucleotide long non-coding RNA. RefSeq lists it as uncharacterized. The transcript is spliced from 6 exons. NCBI's taxonomy places the organism in Eukaryota, Metazoa, Chordata, Mammalia, Rodentia, Sciuridae. The record is from RefSeq and is a predicted model, not a curated record.
CCGGGAGGGAGGCACCGCGGUGAUUCCAUUUUACAGAGGAGGACACUGUCUUGGAGAGUCGGAGCCUCCUGCCCCAGACAAAGCAGAGAACCAGGGAGCAAGUCCAGAUAUUUCCUUCUGCAGUACUGGUGGCCACGACCUUGAGAGAGGUCCUUGGAGGCACGUGGUGGGCACCCAGCCUCUAUGCUGGACACCAUGGGAGUCUUUGGCAGUCCUUCCCAUCCAGUCCCCUGCCUUGACGUACAACCCACAGCAAAGGUCCCAGAGUGGACACAAUAUCUAUUUAUUUUUAUGUGGGGUGCUGAGGAUCGAACCCAGUGCCUCGAACAUGCCAGGCCAGCGCACUACCAUUUGAGCCGCAGCCCUACCCCUCCCUGUUUUCUUGAUGGACAAGACCAGGUGCUCGGGGAGGGCGUCCCCAAACUGGGCACCAUCGUGUGUGAGUCGAACCCAGUCUCAGCCAACUUUCUGCAAAGGAGCAUCUAGUCAGCGUUUUGGGCCACGGACACCGUUGGGGCGAAUUCUUUCUGUUGGGACCACCACAUGCUGUCCCCCAGGACGGGCCCCUGAGUAAUGGGGUUUCACCUCAGAGGGAGAAGGCCCUUCCUGUUCUCCAGCCACCGUGGGUGUCCAGGCCCUCAGGCCGCGGCAGGACGGUUCCAGUCUCCGCUGGUCUCCUGGUGUCUGUCUCUCCUCAGGACACUCGCCAUCGGAGCCCCCCACCCAUUAGUCCAGGACAAUUUUACCUUGAGGCUCUUGGUCACAUCUGCAAAGACUCUUCCCGAUCAAAGUGACAGGCUCAGGCUCUGUGAUGAGAGUGUGGACAGACCUUUUGGGAGGCCACCGGUCCUUUGCACAGAACCAUUUCCGGUGGCUCACAGUGACGGCAUUGACAUCAUGUGACAGCAGAGGCUCCUGGGGGCCGGGCGCCGGUGACCGCAAGGCCGUCUCUUCUGGAAGCCCCUGGCCUGAGUCUCCGGCCAGGGCUGGCCAGCUCCUCUCUCCCAGUCCUGAACACACCCACGCACACGUGAACACACCUGUCUGCACACCCUCUCUGCCCCACAUUCCCACGCGCACUCUGUUCACAGGCCCACUGCGGUGAGUCUUAUGAAUGCUCAGGCCGGUGGGGACUUCGGGGACACUUUGGACACUAGGCACAGACGCUCUCAGCCACCUGGCCUAGGAGGGGAGGCUCCCUUUCAGAGUGAAACCCAGAGUGACCUCCGCAGCUUCUUCUGUCCUCUCCCCUCCCCUGCCAGGCCCGUGCGCUCUGGGCAGCAGUGUCCUCCGGCUGGCAGAGCCUCUCAGUGCCUCUGACCUGCCCCUGGAGAGGCAGGGCUUGUGGGUCCCGUUCUCUGCUCCAGCCCCGCACCCUUCAUAGGGCGCUGGGGGAACGUGGGAGCGAGGGGCUGGGUGGGACAGUGCUGGUGACAGCUCUGAGCCCACCACACCUCCCCCAGCCGGGCCUAGGCCCGCUCCUGGCCCAUGACCACAGGGCCCAGGCUUGGGGGAGAGUCCUGCACUUACAGACCCAGGCCACAGUCCCCCACCCCCCACCCCCCUGCUGGCAGCUUCUGGAACCCCCCUGCUGCCCGGAGUCUGUAGGUGCAUACAAAGCCAUGUUCCGUCUUGUCUUCUUUUUUUUUUGGUACUGAAGAUUGAACCCACAGGUGGUAACCACUGAGCCACAUUUUCAGCCGGUUCCCUUCUCUUUAAAAUGUUUUGGUUGGAGACAGGCCCUCGCUGAGUUGCUUAGGGCCUCGCCGAGUUGCAGAGGCUGGUUUAGCUGAUGUGAUCCUGCUGUCUGAGCCGCUCCCGCUGCUGGGAUUAUAGGCGUGUGCCACCGUGCCUGGCUUGGUCAUCAUUUAAAAUGACUAGUGCACAGGCAUCUGGGACGUGUCUGCACAGGUGACCUUGUGUGACCUGUCAGCAGAUGCUGGCAUCCUCAGGAGAGGACGCUGAGCCUUUGUGAGGCCAAGGACCCUCUGGGAUUGUGCAGGCCAGGCAGGGACCUGACCCACGGUGGGCUGGGGCUCUGCCUGCCUCUGUCCGGCUUUGCUUUCUCUUGCAGAGGACAAUGGGGGAGAAGAGCCGGUGGCCCCUGCUCCCUGCCUUCCUCACCCAUCUGGGAGGCUGCUGAUUCACCCUCUCAAAGCGUCCUCCGUGGGCCACUCAUCCCCGUGCCACCACCAUUGGAGCCACCAUCUGUCCCCUGGACAGUUGUGCCAAGGCCUCACUGUCUCCCCUGGGGACCUUCCCUCCUGUCUUCCCAUGGCCACUGUCUCUGCUUGAACCUCCCCCACUCUGUUGUGAGCGAGCCACACCAGCAACACGACCAAACACACCCGUGUCUUUCCA